Molecule: long non-coding RNA, 953 nt
Organism: Tyto alba (common barn owl)
Lineage: Eukaryota; Metazoa; Chordata; Aves; Strigiformes; Tytonidae
Exons: 3
Source: RefSeq, a predicted model, not a curated record
GGGGUGCGGGGCCGGGGGUGCCGCCCCCCCCCCCCCCCAAACCUGACCCCCGGCGCCUCGGCCCAUGACUCAGCCUCCGGGAAAAGGGGAAUAAACACCAUUAAAGAAAUCACGAGAGCAAGACCCGGAGUGAGGUGGCUGAGGCGCCUGGAGCAGUGAGAGACAUGCGAGAGCCAGCCGAGGGACCUGUCCCACCUCAUUCCUAUUUUUGGCACGCCGAAGCUUCCCCGAGAAGACCAUCAUUUAUGUGAUCACAUCUCCUCCGUGUGACAGAACACCAAAGCGACUGAGCCUUCUGGUCCUGGGAGGAGUGUGGGCUCAAAAAGACGAGGGUCAACACCCCAUGGUGACCCAAGGAUCAGCUUAAACUUGCAGUGUGUUGCCCUGGAGUGGGAGCAACCACCCAGCUCCCACUGGUGAUUUGGUGAAUCAAUCCCAAGCUCCUGGGGCAGUUGUUGCUGUGUGAGUAUGCCCAUGAAGGCUCUUAAUUCCAACCUAUUUAUUGUCGCCUUUCUCCUAAGCUCCAGCUUCACUUGCUGCCGCAGCCAGCAUUUUCCAACGUGCCUGCCUGCGGUUAAGAUUUUGAACCUAUGUUUAAGCACCUCAGCAAACACGGUAUGCGGCUUCGCACACCCUCUCUCAGAGCUUCUGCACACAAAACACCCUGUUAAUAAUUAUUUGCAGCGUGGGACUUGGCAUCUCAGCCUCUCUGGCUGCGAAUCCCUGAGUGUUUCCCAAGAUGGUCUGGCACCAGGGUGGCUUAGGGUCAGGGGUAUGGUCAAAAAUGUGAAGACUCUUUGCCCCAUGGUCUCAGCCGAAGGUGCUCGUAGGUUAUGGGAGGUGUGGGAGCAUCCCUGGAGGACACCGCAGCUGUGCCUGGCUCCUGCAACCUCCAGCACCCUCUCCAGCUGCAGCCAGGAGUCAAUAAAGCCGAACUGCUCGGACACUGCCAA